Molecule: unclassified non-coding RNA, 676 nt
Filed under: Hevea brasiliensis (rubber tree)
Lineage: Eukaryota; Viridiplantae; Streptophyta; Magnoliopsida; Malpighiales; Euphorbiaceae
Source: RNAcentral
AAAAAGAGACCCCUCUUUCCCUUGCAAUGAAAUCAAACUUACGAAUAAGGCUAGAAGGGAGUAGGGGGGCAAAUGAAAGAACAAACAAAAUAAAGAGAGAGAUUCCAACAUCUAACACAUUGUCUUCCAAUGUCUUCCAAUGAAUUUUGUACAUCAACCUUUGCAGCGCCAUACUGUGAUGUACCAUCGGUUUCCUUCUCCAUUGUCUCUAUUGACAGGUGGUAAACUGGAAUCGCUGAUUCAGCCCACCCAGCAUCGUGCAAGCAACUUCAAGCAACUUUCCUCUUCGAGGCUUGGCGGCAGUAGCAGUCUUCGCCGGUGCCAGCUUCUUGCUAGCCGGAGGAACCGCAGACGCCUUGACCUCCUCUUCAGGCGGAAACAACACAGAAUCAAUCCCCUGAACGGAGAUCCGGCCAUCAGUAUAAAUGUCCGGAUCAAACAAAUAAGCCGAGCCCUCGCCCUGCCCGAACUUCACAGACCCAUCAGCCUCCUUUGCCACCACCUUCUGCGGAAUCCUCAGCGUCUCAUACUGAACCUUUCCAAAUCGCCUCACAGCAUUGUACAUGCUCUCCUCAGUCUGGUACUCCGGAAUCAAAUGGUAGUACAUUAUCUGCUCCGGCGCACCAGGCUCGCUCAGCUGAUCCGCCGUCAGCCUCGCCAUCGCAUCAUCGUGCGG